CUAGAAUCCAAGAUUCCUCUCACAUGCUCUUCUGUUUUCCACCGUGGGAUGCAGAUCCAACGGCUCUGGAUAACGAACAGCUCAUAAGAUUCCCGUGCUGCAACUGAAUCACACCGGCCGAGGCGAUCUACGGCGGCGACGGCGUGCGCCGCCGCAAUCCGCCCCAAUCCCGCGGGGUCUGUCCGACUGCUCCGGCCACCCCCUUUUCAACCACCCGGACCUCCUCCAGCCGGCAUCCUCCGCCGCCCUCCUUCAACGCCGGUGCGUUUCUCCGCGGCGCGCGCGGAUGGGCGGGCUGCAGUACGCGGAGGCGUUUCGAUCAGUACCCACCUGCCGUUCAGCCGGAGUAGCCCCAGCCAUGGCCGACGGGCUCGGCGGCCCCCCUUCCCUCCCUGCACCGCGGACAUCCAUGCAGGGACUUGAACUCAUGGACAUGGCAUCAUCCUUAUUACAAUAGACAUCCUUGGCCGGCAGAAGUAUGGUGACGCAAAGAACCUGGCCACCGCCUGCUCCCUGCAUCGGCAAGCAAGCGACGGAGCUUCCAACAGGCGGAAAUGCGUGCGUGUUUAUGACACAACUGAAACAAUCCUUUGCGGGAAGGUUUUGCUGCUGUCCAGGCCAUCUUGAAGACUUUGGUGAUGCAUCUGGUCUGUUAACUUAACAUCGCGAAGAGUGUGGCUUAUCCUAUCUCCUAUGCAGAGUGAUUUUGGUGGAGUACAAGCUAUUUGCCUUGCUGGUAUCUGGGUAUGCCUCUAAGGUUCAGAAAGCCGAGGAGAACCAAGCUACAGCUGAUUGUGCUUGACAAGGCUGCUGGCAAGCUCUCGCCAUGGAAAGGGUGCCUUCUCAUCAGGGCUGGGAGACUGGUGCUUAUUAGCUCGGUGGUCACUGCAACUGCUACCUAUUUUCUAUCUGCCUUCCUAGAGGAACAAAUGGAUGAUGAAAAAGAUGGACAGGCUCAGAAGGAAUUUUCUCUGGGGAGCUGAUGACCAAAGAGACCAUGGAAGGGCACCCAGACUCCAUGCGAUGAGGCUGACCAACGCCAGGGGCUCGAUUUCAGAACUCCAACGCUAGAGUGUGCUCAAUUGUUUCCUUGGCUUCCCCAAUCGGGGGAUGGUGGAGGAGGAUUUGCUCGGCUCGCCGAGGCGAGGAGGAGAGAUUACUCUGUAGGCAUACACUGCCUGGCAGCUGUGGAAAGAGCGAAAGAGGAGGAGGUAGUUGCGGUCGUCUUGGCAGGUUUCGUUAGCUAACUGCAAACAGCUUACACUACUAGCAGACUUGACUAGCAGCGUCGUCGAGAAAGGGGAACGGUGAAAAUCCAGAAUCGAUCAGUUUCGAACAAGAAGUACCUGUGUAUGUAGCGAUCAAGCGUGCUUCCAACUGAAGAGGAUCGCGGUGGUAUGCAACAGCUCUGCUCAUGAACUCAUCUUCAACAGAAUGGUCCGUGUUUCAACUCUCUUUUGUUUCCCCUCCGAAAGAAAAAGAGAAAGGAAUAGGGCCAUUUUUCUACUGGCCUCUUCAGAGUGGAGACUUAGCCAAACUGCAUCCGCCCGUUUCGUUUGCCGGGCGGCCAAAUGGCAACAGCUCCCCUGACUUGUCUCCAUGGAGGUAACGACCGAAAUUAGGACUUGUAUAAUGGCAGUGGAGUGUGCUCAUCUGCUGGCGACAACUCUAUCAACACUUGAAUAUAAACAUGUUAGUGGUAGCUACACUCCAAACACAUACUCCUGUACUGCUCCCUCCGUUUCUAAAUAUAAGUUUUUUUAGAGAUUUCAAUAUGAACUACAUACAUAUGUAUAUAAACAUAUUUUAGAGCGUAGAUUUACUCAAUUUGCUCCGAUGUAGUUCAUAUUGAAAUCUCUAAAAAGAUAUAUAUUUAUAAACGGAGGGAGUACAUCAUAAACACAGGACUCCCAACACUAUCCACAUUGUGUAUGAUGUUGUUGAUGCAAGAUUAGUAAUCAAGCUUCUUCUUUUUUACAUUUUUCUCUCUGAAAAGAUUCAGAUAUGAAGUACUUCCUCCCUUUCUAAAUAUAAGUCUUUUUAAAGAUUUCAAUAUUUUAGAGUGCGAAAAUGCUCCACCUACGGACGACACCUACGGAAACUCUCCUGCGGACAGACUUGGCUGUGUCUAAUUCACCACUCCUCCCUCCUGCGGACAGAAUUGGCUGCGUCUAAUUCACCACUCCUCCCUGAAUUUCAGGUGUGGGGCUCUCCUGUCCCCAAUCUAAUGAUGCCACUUUCAUCCGUAACCUCCCAUCCUUAAAAAAAACGACUGUAAGUGUAGCAUUGCUCUUUAGAGUGCAGAUUCAUCAUUUUGCUCCGUAUGUAGUCUAUAUUGAAAUCUCUAAAAGGAUUAAAAACAAAAAAAUAUUUUUUACCUUAGGCGAAAGAUGGGUUACCUGGUCAACAACCUUGAAACGCCGGUGAGCUCAUCUGUCCACCCAGUCUCCGAUGGCCCUUGUAGAUGCGGGAGGCGCGAUGGAUGCUGCUCCUCGCCCGUGGGUGAGGAGGUAGUUCGUAAGUUAGGUGUAUGCCGACAACAUUUCAUGGGGAUUCUGUUGCCAUUUGAAAUAAGGUGCCCUCGACCUUUCCCUCGCGCCGACGGCACGCUAGGGGGCUUUGUGGUGGUUAAUUUUUUUGUGAGUAAACAUCCGAUCUAGUUAGCUUCAAUCAUGACAGUACAACGAACAUUAGAAAUAAUAAAAAUUGCAUCCAGGUUCAUAGACCACCUAGUGAUGACUACAAGCACUGAAGCCAGUCGAAAGCGCACCGCCGUCAUCGCCCCUUCCUCACGGGAGCAUGGCAAACUUGUUGUAGUAGACAUUCAGGAAGUCAUCAUGCUAAGGUUCCAUAGGACCCACGCACCAGAACAGCAAUCGCCGCUGGUGAAGAGUAGCAUUGAUCUGAAGGAUUCAACCUGAAGACACACGAACAUAAACGAACAACGAACAAAUCCGAGCAAAUCCAUCAAAGGCAGAUCGCCAGAGACACACCUCCACACGCCCACCGAUGAUACUGGUUAGGGGUUCUCUUUACUGGUUGCUCAGUGGGGGUUCGGGUGGGAUCCUUGAAUUUGAGAUGGAUAGGCAAAGACUAAUUGUGAUACCUAUGCCAGUAAAUGACCUCAGGUUUUUCCAAUUGUCGCUGAUACGGGCAGAUGGCCUUGGAAUUGGUCUCCUCAAUUUAUCAGGCUUCAGUGCCCAAUUUUGGAAGACAAGGACCAAUUGUGAUGGUGUUGCUUCAUGGGUGUUGGGAAGAACCAUUGAAAUUGACCAGCUACUUCACUUGGAAGCAGAGGAGAUGGGGACUCAAAUGAUACUAGGGUUUGCUGAGGACAAUAAUGUGGUUCUCUUGUGGACAAUUGAUGGUCUUGUCAUGUUACAGCUUGAGUCGGUACAGUUUGAGAAAGUCUUGGGAACCAACAUCAUCGCUUACAAUCACUCAUUCGAAAGUGUCUAUACUGCAGAAACAGGCAUUGGUGGUGGACAUGAUGGAGCUGAUCUUUUGCACAGGACAUAAGAUUUUUUUUCCGGUUAGAUAUGCUAUUGUGAUGGGUUGAGCAGGAGUCUGGAAUUACAUUCCGGUGGCAGAUGCAGAAAUGGCUUUUCUGCUGUAGGUUCAUCCAGUUUAUAUGCUAUGCGGUCUUCUAUAGACAUUAGUCAGCUGGCAUGAAGACACCAUGACUUAUUUGGAUUUAUGAUUGGCAUUGGCCCUGUCUGUUAAUCUCCCGUUACAUUUAUGCUUGCAAGCAUUGAGGCAAGCUAAAGUCUUAUGUUCUAUGUUGUGUCUGGUCGAGAUUGCAACUUGUAAUCUCUGCUUAAGCUUUGUCCGAUGAUGUUACUUCUUUUUUUGCGUGUGUGUGCAUACUCUUGGGUUUGUACUAUUAGAUAUAAAUUUGUAUGUCGAAAAGAUAGCGAUGCUGCAGUGAUGCUAUUAUGAAUUGAGUUUGUACCAUGAUAGGGCUGUUCUCAUUACCCUUGUGUUGUUACCAGAAUGCCCAAGAUGCUAGUUGUGUUGUACUUUUGUUUGUUGCUGAGGACACGGAAAGUUCGUGUUCUGUUUCGACAUGAA
Triticum aestivum (bread wheat) is the source of this 4071-nucleotide long non-coding RNA. RefSeq lists it as uncharacterized. Lineage: Eukaryota; Viridiplantae; Streptophyta; Magnoliopsida; Poales; Poaceae. The record is from RefSeq and is a predicted model, not a curated record. The transcript is spliced from 5 exons.